RNAcentral lists this ribosomal RNA (328 nucleotides) under uncultured Acidobacteriota bacterium. RNAcentral's name for it is "bacterial SSU rRNA". It matches the Rfam family "Bacterial small subunit ribosomal RNA", at positions 15 to 336 of the family's 1533-position model. The record is from RNAcentral. Lineage: Bacteria; Pseudomonadati; Acidobacteriota.
GAUCCUGGCUCAGAAUCAACGCUGGCGGCGUGCCUGACACAUGCAAGUCGAACGAGAAAGCAGGGGCAACUCUGUGAGUAAAGUGGCGACCGGGUGAGUAACACGUAGCUAACCUACCCUCGAGUGGGGGAUAACCUGGGGAAACCUGGGCUAAUACCGCAUAACAUCCCGAUGUUGAUGACAAUGGGAGCAAAGGCCCGUAAGGGUCACUGGAGGAGGGGGCUGCGGCCGAUUAGCUAGUUGGUGAGGUAACGGCCCACCAAGGCGAUGAUCGGUAGCCGGCCUGAGAGGGCGCACGGCCACACUGGCACUGACACACGGGCCAGAC